GGAAAAGAAACCAACAGGGAUUGCCUCAGUAACGGCGAGUGAAGCGGCAAAAGCUCGAAUUUGAAAUCCUCUUCGGAGGAGUUGUAAUUUGAAGCUGGUUCUUUAGGGAGUUUUGUUUUUGGCUGCGGAAGUGCCUUGGAACAGGCCGCCGUGGAGGGUGAGAGCCCCGUAUCGUGGCCAGCAAGAUUUUCGUAUAAGGGCUAGCGAAGAGUCGAGUUGUUUGGGAAUGCAGCUCUAAGUGGGUGGUAUAUUCCAUCUAAGGCUAAAUAUGGGCGAGAGACCGAUAGCAAACAAGUACAGUGAUGGAAAGAUGAAAAGAACUUUGAAAAGAGAGUGAAAAAGUACGUGAAAUUGUUGAAAGGGAAGGGUAUUUGAUCCGACAUGGUAUUUAGAUGUCGCUUGCCCCCGUGGCGGGCGCUCCAUCUUUUUACUGGGCCAGCAUCGGUGCUGGGCGGGACAGGAGGUUUCUGUGAAUGUAGCCCUUCGGGGAACUUAUAGAACAGGAUUCAUACGUCUCUCCCCGGUACCGAGGACUGCGGGAAACCAAGGAUGCUGGCAUAACGAGCAAAUACCGCCCG
RNAcentral lists this ribosomal RNA (578 nucleotides) under Brettanomyces naardenensis. Its description in RNAcentral is "eukaryotic LSU rRNA". It matches the Rfam family "Eukaryotic large subunit ribosomal RNA", at positions 55 to 651 of the family's 3401-position model. Lineage: Eukaryota; Fungi; Ascomycota; Pichiomycetes; Pichiales; Pichiaceae. The record is from RNAcentral.